Long non-coding RNA from Oncorhynchus keta (chum salmon), 1195 nucleotides. RefSeq lists it as uncharacterized. Lineage: Eukaryota; Metazoa; Chordata; Actinopteri; Salmoniformes; Salmonidae. The record is from RefSeq and is a predicted model, not a curated record. The transcript has 5 exons.
GGAUCCAACAGCUGCCAUCCUUCAUGAGGUACAUAGCAGGCUCCCCAGGAGCUGUUGACCAUGUGAAGGUAAGGGAACUGCACAUCCUGUCUGGAGAAGAAUGUGUGGGAGAAUGAAGAGCAUGUGUCUGCCAUGCAGCUGAGGAUGAUGGCCAAAGAUGAACUUGUAGCAGCACUGCAAAAGUGCGCUGAGAUCCUAAAACCUGGCAAGAGCAAGAAAAUGAGCGCUACACUGCUCCAACUGGAAGAUUUACUUGCCAAAGUUGACCAGUCGGACAGAAAGUAGCGAUGAGGGUUUUGCUUUACCAUUUUUAUUUUCAUUAAAAUAGCAGACUUUUUAUUUAUAUUUCUAUGGUGGUGAAAUGUACUUUUUGAUUGCUUCGACCCUAUCAGAUGUUGCUGCUGCAGCGGGUGCAGCUGGGGAGAUCAUCUCUUCUCCAAGGAAAGGCCUCCAGAAGAAAACAGACCUGUUCCAACUGCAAAAGGUAACAUUUUUGUAAUGGGAAAGAAAGACCGAAAGACUACACUUCUAAUAUGUACAGUAGUGCCCCUACACGAAUCCCAGUAUGUGUGCUACUAUAGCUCCUCUGCUAUCCUGAAACCCCACCUCAACGCCACGCCAUCCAGACUGCCCUCAGCAACCACUACCUAUACCUGAAGGUAAACAACUUACCACUGAGAGGCUUUGUCUCAAGUGUCUAGUAAACUCCUUUCCUCAUAUCCUCUCCCUAAUCUGGAAAGACUUGAUGGGUGUAAGCAAUUUGGUGGACUACUAUCAGUGGGCUUAGUUUCACCUAUUCACAAUUAUUUCAGUGCAGAUGAAGGAAAAGGAAAUGAGGUAAAGCCAGUCUCUUUAGACAACUGAGUAUCAGCCCAAACUUUAAGUGUUAAAGCUACAACAGCAGCUGAUACUGAUGCUAAUGUUGUGUGGUUCAGAAUGAAAACCUGCGGACCGAGGACGGGACAAUUUCAAAUGCUGCUCCUGACAUCUGCAUUGUGUACAAACUCCAUAUGGAGUGUGGGAGGCUCAUCAACCUGUAUGACUGACAGGAGGCUUACGCUGCUGACUAUGGCAAAGUGGAUGAACUCAAACGGUAUCCUUUAACUGUUGGAAGUUUUAAAAUGCUUGAUCGUGAUGUAUUUUCAAUAUUGCUUUUCAUACCACAUGUCCUACUGCAGUCUUUUUCCCUUUCCCA